UACGUAGGUGUCAAGCGUUGUCCGGAUUUAUUGGGCGUAAAGCGCCCGCAGGCGGCUUGCCAAGUUCGAUGUGAAAUCUCCCGGCUCAACUGGGAGGGUGCAUCGAAAACUGACAGGCUUGAGGCAGGGAGAGGGAUGUGGAAUUCCAGGUGUAGCGGUGAAAUGCGUAGAUAUCUGGAGGAACACCGGUGGCGAAGGCGGCAUCCUGGACCGGUAUUGACGCUGAUGCGCGAAAGCCAGGGGAGCAAACGGG
RNAcentral lists this ribosomal RNA (253 nucleotides) under uncultured bacterium. Its description in RNAcentral is "partial 16S ribosomal RNA". It matches the Rfam family "Bacterial small subunit ribosomal RNA", at positions 524 to 776 of the family's 1533-position model. The record is from RNAcentral.